CAUGCAGUCGAGGGGUAACAUUGUAGCUUGCUACAGAUGACGACCGGCGCACGGGUGCGUAACGCGUAUACAAUCUACCUUUAGCUGAGGGAUAGCCUUUGGAAACGAAGAUUAAUACUUCAUAGUAUUUAUUAUUGGCAUCAAAAAUAAAUUAAAGAUUACGGCUAAAGAUGAGUAUGCGUUCUAUUAGCUAGAUGGUGUGGUAACGGCAUACCAUGGCAACGAUAGAUAGGGGCCCUGAGAGGGGGAUCCCCCACACUGGUACUGAGACACGGACCAGACUCCUACGGGAGGCAGCAGUGAGGAAUAUUGGACAAUGGAGGCAACUCUGAUCCAGCCAUGCCGCGUGCAGGAUGACUGCCCUAUGGGUUGUAAACUGCUUUUAUACAGGAAGAAACCAUCCCUCGUGAGGGAUCUUGACGGUACUGUAAGAAUAAGGAUCGGCUAACUCCGUGCCAGCAGCCGCGGUAAUACGGAGGAUCCAAGCGUUAUCCGGAAUCAUUGGGUUUAAAGGGUCCGUAGGUGGAUAAUUAAGUCAGAGGUGAAAGUCUGCAGCUCAACUGUAGAAUUGCCUUUGAUACUGGUUAUCUUGAAUUAUUAUGAAGUGGUUAGAAUAUGUAGUGUAGCGGUGAAAUGCAUAGAUAUUACAUAGAAUACCAAUUGCGAAGGCAGAUCACUAAUAAUAUAUUGACACUGAUGGACGAAAGCGUGGGUAGCGAACAGGAUUAGAUACCCUGGUAGUCCACGCCGUAAACGAUGGAUACUAGCUGUUCGACUUCGGUUGAGUGGCUAAGCGAAAGUGAUAAGUAUCCCACCUGGGGAGUACGUUCGCAAGAAUGAAACUCAAAGGAAUUGACGGGGGCCCGCA
Molecule: ribosomal RNA, 868 nt
Filed under: uncultured Bacteroidota bacterium
Lineage: Bacteria; Pseudomonadati; Bacteroidota
Description: bacterial SSU rRNA
Rfam family: Bacterial small subunit ribosomal RNA
Source: RNAcentral